CCUACGGGAGGCAGCAGUGGGGAAUAUUGCACAAUGGGGGAAACCCUGAUGCAGCGACGCCGCGUGAGUGAAGAAGUCAUUCGUUAUGUAAAGCUCUAUCAGCAGGGAAGAAAAUGACGGUACCUGAGUAAGAAUCCCCGGCUAACUACGUGCCAGCAGCCGCGGUACUACGGAGGGGGCAAGCGUUAUCCGGAUUUACUGGGUGUAAAGGGAGCGUAGACGGCAGUGCAAGUCUGGAGUGAAAGGCGGGGGCUCAACCCCCGGACUGCUCUGGAAACUGUACGGCUGGAGUGCAGGAGAGGUAAGUGGAAUUCGUGGUGUAGCGGUGAAAUGCGUAGAUAUUAGGAGGAACACCAGUGGCGAAGGCGGCUUACUGGACUGUAACUGACGUUGAGGCUCGAAAGCGUGGGGAGCAAACAGGAUUAGAUACCCGUGUAGCC
RNAcentral lists this ribosomal RNA (440 nucleotides) under uncultured bacterium. RNAcentral's name for it is "partial 16S ribosomal RNA". It matches the Rfam family "Bacterial small subunit ribosomal RNA", at positions 338 to 795 of the family's 1533-position model. The record is from RNAcentral.